RNAcentral lists this small RNA (118 nucleotides) under Thiopseudomonas sp. RNAcentral describes it as "partial 6S RNA". It matches the Rfam family "6S / SsrS RNA", at positions 64 to 187 of the family's 187-position model. From Rfam's summary of the family: E. coli 6S RNA was the first non coding RNA to be sequenced, but its function was unknown until recently. It consists of 184 nucleotides that fold into an extended hairpin structure with a large single-stranded internal bulge. The 6S RNA specifically associates with RNA polymerase holoenzyme containing the sigma70 specificity factor. Lineage: Bacteria; Pseudomonadati; Pseudomonadota; Gammaproteobacteria; Pseudomonadales; Pseudomonadaceae. The record is from RNAcentral.
UUACAUUUUUAGAUUGGUGAGCAUGUCCGCUUGCGGAAAGCCUAAAGAUCUGACGUAAUCUCCACCUUGAACUUUCGGGUUCAAGGGCUAUGUCGACAGCGACACAUCCGGGGAGUCU